GAUGAACGCUGGCGGCGUGCUUAACACAUGCAAGUCGAACGAUGAAGCCCAGCUUGCUGGGUGGAUUAGUGGCGAACGGGUGAGUAACACGUGAGUAACCUGCCCUUAACUCUGGGAUAAGCCUGGGAAACUGGGUCUAAUACCGGAUAGGAGCGCCUACCGCAUGGUGGGUGUUGGAAAGAUUUAUCGGUUUUGGAUGGACUCGCGGCCUAUCAGCUUGUUGGUGAGGUAAUGGCUCACCAAGGCGACGACGGGUAGCCGGCCUGAGAGGGUGACCGGCCACACUGGGACUGAGACACGGCCCAGACUCCUACGGGAGGCAGCAGUGGGGAAUAUUGCACAAUGGGCGAAAGCCUGAUGCAGCGACGCCGCGUGAGGGAUGACGGCCUUCGGGUUGUAAACCGCUUUCAGUAGGGAAGAAGCGAAAGUGACGGUACCUGCAGAAGAAGCACCGGCUAACUACGUG
Molecule: ribosomal RNA, 466 nt
Filed under: uncultured bacterium
Lineage: Bacteria
Description: partial 16S ribosomal RNA
Rfam family: Bacterial small subunit ribosomal RNA
Source: RNAcentral